AGGGAUAAGGCUCUGGGUUGUAAACCUCUUUUAUCAAGGAAGAAGAUCUGACGGUACUUGAUUAAUAAGCCACGGCUAAUUCCAGUGCCAAGCAGCCAGCGGUAAUAACGGGAGUGGCAAAGCGUUAUCCUGGAAUAUAUAUGGGCGUAAAAGCUGUCCGCAAGCAGAGUCUUGUAAAUCUCGUCGUAAAAAGCGUGGAGCUUAACUCACAU
This 212-nucleotide ribosomal RNA is filed under the name uncultured bacterium. RNAcentral describes it as "partial 16S ribosomal RNA". It matches the Rfam family "Bacterial small subunit ribosomal RNA", at positions 404 to 619 of the family's 1533-position model. The record is from RNAcentral.